This 778-nucleotide non-coding RNA is filed under the name Lema decempunctata. The record is from RNAcentral. Lineage: Eukaryota; Metazoa; Arthropoda; Insecta; Coleoptera; Chrysomelidae.
UUAAAAUUUUAUCUUAGUUUAAAAAUUAGAUUUAAUAAUAAAUUUAUAUAUAAGUUUUUUAAUUGGGUUUAAUUUGAAAAAUUAAAUUGUAAUCAUUGUAAUUUAUAGUUUUAGUUAAUUUAAUAAUUUAAGAGCUAGGAAUUAUUAAAAAUAUUGGUCAAGUUUAUGCCAGCAACUGCGGUUAGAUACACAAUAUGAUUUAAUUUGUUUUAAUUUAGGUAAUUUUUAGAUAUUUAAUUUAUAAAAAAAAUUAUUAGAUGAAAUUUUAAUUUUUAUUAAAAUUAAUUAUAGAGAUAUUGAUACUGAAAAUUUUAAGUUUAAACUAGGAUUAGAUACCCUAUUAUUUAAAUAGUAAAUGUUAUAAAUUAAAUUAGUAUUAGUUAUAUUUUUGAAAGUUAAAAGAUUUGGCGGUAUUUUAGUCUUUUUAGAGGAACUUGUUCUAUAAUUGAUAAUCCACGAUUUAAUAUACUUUUUUUAUUAGUUUAUAUAUCGUUGUUGUAAAAAAAUUUUUAAAAAAUAUUAAUUUUUUAAAUUUUGAAUAAAAAAAUAAAUCAGAUCAUGAUGUAGUUUAUAAAAAAGAAGAAAUGAGUUACAUUAAUUUUAUAAUUAUUAAGGAUUUUUAUUAGAAUAGUAAAUUGAAUUUGGAUUUAAGUGUAAAUUUAAUUAAUUAAUUAAAUUGAUUUAGCUCUAAAAUAUGUACAUAUCGCCCGUCGCUUUCAUUUUAAAAUGAAAUAAGUCGUAACAAAGUAGAUUUAUUGGAAAAUGAAUCUAGAUUACA